UUAAGGACGAAUGGAAUUUUUUCCCGCCUAAAGGAAAGAAUAGGCCACAUCCUCUUCCUCUGUCCCCUUUUUCUUCCUUCCUUACAUCCCUCAGCUGAGCUUCUAUAACAUGCCCAGUCCUGUGCUAGCUGCUGGUGACAGUGUGCGGCAGACACUCUCCACAGAAGAUCCAUGCGUCCCUUCCGUGGUGCAGAGUUGUCACAAGGAUGCCCUUGGUUUGAUUUCCCGGAACUAGAGGUUUGGCUUGUACUCUGGGGGAUCCUCAUGGCUGAGACCCAAACCCUGGGCCUGAACCACCCAAGGAAUUAGGACCCUCUUGUUCAGUUCAGGCUGAUUGAGACCACCAACCCAUAAACUGGGCCUGCACAGAUGUCUCAUAAGUGACCUGUUAACUUCAAGGGGCUACCCUCAGAUCCUGCUCUGCCAUUUUGUGAACAUGAGUCCUAUGAAGAGGCCUGGAGUCUGACUACGCUUGCACAGAUCAUCAAUUACCUCACUGCUCCUCACCUCCAAUCACCUCUCUCCACAUUUCAGACUACCUUCUCCCCUACUCCAUAAAUAUCCCUGAGUCCCCAUUUCCAGUGAAACGGAUUUGAGACGCGUUCUCUUGUUUCCUCACUGGGCUGCCUUGUGAUUAAG
This 639-nucleotide long non-coding RNA is filed under the name Equus caballus (horse). RNAcentral's name for it is "lncRNA (ENSECAG00000059295.1)". Lineage: Eukaryota; Metazoa; Chordata; Mammalia; Perissodactyla; Equidae. The record is from RNAcentral.